ACCUACCACGACCGGUCAUUUGACCGGUAGUACGAUUUAUACAUUUAUGUAAGAGUUUCUCUCUAAGACUCAAUGCCAAAACUAUAAAGUCGUUACAAACGAAAGUUCUCACUCGACUAUCGGGCUAGCGGUGUUUAUUUGCUUGAUUGAUAUCCGAUACGGUCAAGAUCCUCGAAUGUUCUACGCCAUCUCAUCUACUAUGACGUAAAAUAAAUAAACUUGUAACUGAAGGAAGUGUAUAGACGUCUUCUCACGAAUUCAAAUCAGUAUAGUCUUGCGACACGAACAGAGUGCAUCGAACGUGAAAGUCACAAAGAGCAUACUUGGCAGUCUUUUAUUAUUAUUUUGUAAUAUUUUAUAUCGUAUUACGUGUUAUAAGUGCCAUUUUCAAAAUAGUGAACAAGACUAACAAUACUUCGCAAAUAUUUGUCCCCAAAAUGGCAAGACGUUUGAGGAGUGCGAAUGUAUUAUUAGAGAGAAUAAAUGAUAUCGAUGCAGAAUGUUCUGAAGAUGAUCAGGAAAUUCUGGAUAUGGAAAAUAACAAUACGGAAAAUUAUGAUCCACUUGAAACAGAUUCGAACACCGAUGAGAACGAAGAGAAUAUUUCGAACGUACGUAGACGACGAAAGAGAAGGAGAUUCUUAGUUAGUUCCGAUAGUGAGAAUGAGGAAGAAGUAAGCGAAAUUGCGAUGGACGGAACUGUUUGGCACGAAGUAAAAA
This 720-nucleotide long non-coding RNA is filed under the name Polistes fuscatus (common paper wasp). Its description in RNAcentral is "uncharacterized LOC122526179". Lineage: Eukaryota; Metazoa; Arthropoda; Insecta; Hymenoptera; Vespidae. The record is from RNAcentral.